AGUGCUGUAGCUCAAUGGCAGAGCACUUGCCUAGUACUUGCAAGAUCCAGGGUUCAAUCUCCAGCACUA
Molecule: transfer RNA, 69 nt
Filed under: Fukomys damarensis (Damara mole-rat)
Lineage: Eukaryota; Metazoa; Chordata; Mammalia; Rodentia; Bathyergidae
Rfam family: tRNA
About the family: Transfer RNA (tRNA) molecules are approximately 80 nucleotides in length. Their secondary structure includes four short double-helical elements and three loops (D, anti-codon, and T loops).
Source: Rfam by way of RNAcentral